CCUACGGGAGGCUGCAGUGGGGAAUAUUGGGCAAUGGGCGCAAGCCUGACCCAGCAACGCCGCGUGAAGGAAGAAGGCUUUCGGGUUGUAAACUUCUUUUAAGGGGGAAGAGCAGAAGACGGUACCCCUUGAAUAUGCUACGGCUAACUACGUGCCAGCAGCCGCGGUAAUACGGAGGUGGCAAGCGUUGUCCGGAUUUACUGGGUGUAAAGGGCGUGCAGCCGGAGAGACAAGUCAGAUGUGAAAUCCACGGGCUCAACCCGUGAACUGCAUUUGAAACUGUUUCCCUUGAGUGUCGGAGAGGUGAUCGGAAUUCCUUGUGUAGCGGUGAAAUGCGUAGAUAUAAGGAAGAACACCAGUGGCGAAGGCGGAUUACUGGACGAUAACUGACGGUGAGGCGCGAAAGCGUGGGGAGCAAACAGGAUUAGAUACCCGUGUAGUC
This 442-nucleotide ribosomal RNA is filed under the name uncultured bacterium. RNAcentral describes it as "partial 16S ribosomal RNA". It matches the Rfam family "Bacterial small subunit ribosomal RNA", at positions 338 to 795 of the family's 1533-position model. The record is from RNAcentral.